Non-coding RNA from Cyanistes caeruleus (blue tit), 513 nucleotides. The record is from RefSeq and is a predicted model, not a curated record. Lineage: Eukaryota; Metazoa; Chordata; Aves; Passeriformes; Paridae.
AUGCUCCUCGGCACCCACCUGCAGGCCCCGGCCCUCCCUCAUGCUUGGGACCACAUCUAAGAGAGAACCCACCCCAGCCACCAGGUCAGGAUCAGGUGUCGCAAUCGCACAAUACUGAGUGAGAAGCUGUUGUAUCAGAGCAACUAAUGCAAGGAAGUGUUUAAAAUCUCUUGUUAGAUUUCCCAAAGGGAGGAAUAUUUUGCUCUGUUGAAAACCACAAGAAGGCACAUGAGCUAUAGGAUGCUAAAAUUUCUCUACCUCCUCAGCCUUUAUCUCCUUCUACUCUUCAUGGAGUAAUUGUGUCCUCCCUUAGUUAUUGCUCCUCUGAACCAUCACAAUCUGCCUUGGUAGCUGCAGCUGAAGUCCUCAGGAGCCCUGUGUGUGGCAGAAUGAACUAAUCUCUCCAAAUGAGAAACGUGAGCUUUUGCCAGUUCUCCCCCGACAGCAGAAGGUGGCAGCUUCUGAGGUCUGACUUUCCCCCCACUGAACCUCUUAUGACUUAUGUUAAAAUCU